Molecule: ribosomal RNA, 1733 nt
Filed under: metagenome
Description: bacterial LSU rRNA
Rfam family: Bacterial large subunit ribosomal RNA
Source: RNAcentral
GGUCCUGCGCCGAAAAUGUCCGGGGCUGAAACGCACCACCGAAACUAAGGGAUCCGAAAGGAUCGGUAGAGGAGCAUUGCAUGCGGGACGAAGCAGUACCGUAAGGAGCUGUGGACUGCAUGGAAGAGAGAAUGCCGGAAUGAGUAGCGAGAUAGAGGUGAGAAUCCUCUAGGCCGAAUAUCCAAGGUUUCCAGGGUAAAGCUGAUCUGCCCUGGGUAAGUCGGGGCCUAAGGUGAGGACGAGAGUCGUAGCCGAUGGACAACAGGUGGAGAUUCCUGUACCAUGAUAUGACAGAACUGUGGGGACACGUGCAGAGAGCGGAAGCCGGGAAUGGGAUCCCGGUGCAAGCGAGGUACCAGCCGCAUUGGAAAAACCGUGCGGCAAUGGGAAGACGUGAUGCGGAGUGAAGUUUAGUAAUGAAGUCCGUGAGCUGUGCGUCAAGAAAAGCCGCUAUUGUUCAUACCAUACCCGUACCGUAAACCGACACAGGUGGAUGUGGAGAGAAUCCUAAGGCCGGCGGAAGAAGCAUUGUCAAGGAACUCGGCAAAAUGACCCCGAAACUUCGGGAGAAGGGGUGCCUGCGAGAGCAGGCCGCAGAGAAUAGGCUCAAGCAACUGUUUAGCAAAAACACAGGUCUAUGCGAAACCGAAAGGUGAGGUAUAUGGGCUGACGCCUGCCCGGUGCUGGAAGGUUAAGAGGAGAGGUUAGCGCAAGCGAAGCUUUGAAUUUAAGCCCCAGUAAACGGCGGCCGUAACAAUAACGGUCCUAAGGUAGCGAAAUUCCUUGUCGGGUAAGUUCCGACCCGCACGAAAGGCGUAAUGAUUUGAGCGCUGUCUCGACAAUGCAUCCGGUGAAAUUGAAGUACCAGUGAAGAUGCUGGUUACCUGCGCCAGGACGGAAAGACCCCAUGGAGCUUUACUCCAGUUUGGUACUGGGAUCCGGUACUGCAUGUACAGGAUAGGUGGGAGGCUGAGAAUCGGUAACGCCAGUUGCCGAGGAGCCGCUGUUGGGAUACCACCCUUGCAGUAUUGGGUUUCUAACCAGCCGCCGUGACCCGGCGGUGGGACAAUGCCAGACGGGGAGUUUGACUGGGGCGGUCGCCUCCGAAAGGGUAUCGGAGGCGCCCAAAGGUUCCCUCAGGAUGGACGGAAACCAUCCAAAGAGUGCAAAGGCAGAAGGGAGCUUGACUGCGACACCGACGGGUGGAGCAGGUACGAAAGUAGGGCUUAGUGAUCCGGUGGUAUUAAGUGGGAAUGCCAUCGCUCAACGGAUAAAAGCUACCCUGGGAUAACAGGCUUAUCACUCCCAAGAGUUCACAUCGACGGAGUGGUUUGGCACCCGAUGUCGGCUCAUCGCAUCCUGGGGCUGUAGUAGGUCCCAAGGGUUGGGCUGUUCGCCCAUUAAAGCGGUACGCGAGCUGGGUUCAGAACGUCGUGAGACAGUUCGGUCCCUAUCCGGCGUGGGCGUAGGAUAUCUGAGAGGAGCUGUCCUUAGUACGAGAGGACCGGGAUGGACGGGCCGCUGGUGCACCGGUUAGACUGCCAAGUCUAUAGCCGGGUAGCCAAGCCCGGAAGGGAUAAACGCUGAAGGCAUCUAAGCGUGAAGCCCCCCUCAAGAUGAGAUAUCCCAUCCGAAAGGAGUAAACCCCCUUGAAGACGACGAGGUCGAUAGGGCAGAGGUGGAAGUGUGGUAACACAUGGAGCUGACUGCUACUAAUAGGGUGAGGGCUUGAC